UGGGGAAUAUUGGACAAUGGGCGCAAGCCUGAUCCAGCCAUGCCGCGUGAGUGAUGACGGCCUUAGGGUUGUAAAGCUCUUUCAACGGUGAAGAUAAUGACGGUAACCGUAGAAGAAGCCCCGGCUAACUUCGUG
This 135-nucleotide ribosomal RNA is filed under the name uncultured Phyllobacteriaceae bacterium. RNAcentral's name for it is "partial 16S ribosomal RNA". It matches the Rfam family "Bacterial small subunit ribosomal RNA", at positions 355 to 507 of the family's 1533-position model. Lineage: Bacteria; Pseudomonadati; Pseudomonadota; Alphaproteobacteria; Hyphomicrobiales; Phyllobacteriaceae. The record is from RNAcentral.